CUUCCAGUAGCACCUUAGAGACCAACUAAGUUUGUUAUUGGCAUCUCAUACCAAUUAGAAACUUAGUUGGUCUCUAAGGUGCUACUGGAAG
Podarcis lilfordi (Lilford's wall lizard) is the source of this 91-nucleotide non-coding RNA. The record is from the annotation of a GenBank genome assembly. Lineage: Eukaryota; Metazoa; Chordata; Lepidosauria; Squamata; Lacertidae.